AGAAUGAACGCUGGCGGCAUGCCUAACACAUGCAAGUCGAACGAAAUCCUUCGGGGUUUAGUGGCGCACGGGUGCGUAACGCGUGGGAAUCUGCCCCUUGGUUCGGAAUAACAGUUGGAAACGACUGCUAAAUACCGGAUGACGACGUAAGUCCAAAGAUUUAUCGCCGAGGGAUGAGCCCGCGUAGGAUUAGGUAGUUGGUGUGGUAAAGGCGCACCAAGCCGACGAUCCUUAGCUGGUCUGAGAGGAUGAUCAGCCACACUGGGACUGAGACACGGCCCAGACUCCUACGGGAGGCAGCAGUGGGGAAUAUUGGACAAUGGGCGAAAGCCUGAUCCAGCAAUGCCGCGUGAGUGAUGAAGGCCUUAGGGUUGUAAAGCUCUUUUACCCGGGAUGAUAAUGACAGUACCGGGAGAAUAAGCUCCGGCUAACUCCGUGCCAGCAGCCGC
This 449-nucleotide ribosomal RNA is filed under the name uncultured bacterium. Its description in RNAcentral is "SSU rRNA". It matches the Rfam family "Bacterial small subunit ribosomal RNA", at positions 26 to 518 of the family's 1533-position model. The record is from RNAcentral.